Non-coding RNA from Phascolarctos cinereus (koala), 1278 nucleotides. Lineage: Eukaryota; Metazoa; Chordata; Mammalia; Diprotodontia; Phascolarctidae. The record is from the annotation of a RefSeq genome assembly.
UCUGUUUUUCCUCACACUAUUGCAAAACUGAGGUUCCCAAGAUCCAGCAAUAAGAACCUAACCGGACAUGACCCACCAGCUAUCAUUCAGCAAAGAGUAUCCACACCCUCCACUCCUGCCCAUCCCCCACUCCAAUUUCCUCUCAGAGAAGAAAACUCUUGAGGCUGAUAAGGAAACCUCACCAUCUGCUGAAAGCAUGGGACCCAAAGGGUUGAGAUGCACAAGAGACUCACAUAAAGGACCCCAUUCAAUUGCUGCUUCUGAACAAUCAGGAGUGUGUCUUGCGAUAGCGUAAAAUGCCAACCACCCCAUAGACCUAUUUCCUUUAUUGCUUCAGUGAUAAAGCGGCUGAGCGGUUGUUACAGAUAAGGCAGUUUUGUGUGCACUCUGCAUGCAGAAUAGACUUUACUAGCAACAGCAGAGAGAGUGAGCAGGAUAUGGUUGGGUGAGUGUCCAACGAGAGGGGAGCUGAAGCCUUUGGCAAGUGUACCAUGAAACCACUCAUCUACCUCCUCCUGCCUGUCCUCUGUCAUCUCUGCAGCGCCAAAUUCACACAGUCCUCUGACAAGGUGGCCAAAGAAGGAUCAGACUUGGAAUUACAAUGCCAACACAACAUUCCUGCUGGAAAUUAUGACUCUGUCUACUGGUACCUCCAGAAGACCAAUCAGAAACUCACUUAUGUCCAUCACGGAUUUCAAGACAUCACGGAAGCUGGGCAUUAUCAGAUAAAUGUGGAUAGGAAAAAGUGCUGCAGUAAAUUAAUCAUCAGGAAUGUGCAUCUAAGUGACGUGGCUGUAUAUUACUGUGCUUUACAAGGACACUGUGAUUCAUGCCACACACGACACCAAACAAAAACUGCAUGUUUCAAGUGUGAUGCGAAACAAAGAGAACCCAGUAACUAAGAGAAUAAACCAAUGUGACCCACAGGGGGCCUGUGUUCUUUCAAACUUUCCCUUUCAUUCAACAACUAUUUGAAGAAAUGAACAGCUGGUUAUGAAGAUGGUGUCAGAAAACGAGAUCUGGACUUCUAUAUCAGUACUUAGAAAUGAGAACUCUUGGCAAAGACUAUAAUGCAUCUAAUGAGACAUGAGAAGAAUAUGUUCACCUGGAGAGUGGAGAAUCUGAUAAAGAGGACUUUUCAUUGAAAUUGACAAUGAGUUGUUUUCUGAACUCUAAUGAUUAUUGCUUCUAUUUCUAAAUGCUCAUAAUCCAUCCUUUUAAUAACACAUUCUAGAGUUUUGUCAUAAAUUGAAACCAACCUGUAUUCUGUCACUGUCA